RNAcentral lists this long non-coding RNA (7564 nucleotides) under Xyrichtys novacula (pearly razorfish). Lineage: Eukaryota; Metazoa; Chordata; Actinopteri; Labriformes; Labridae. The record is from RNAcentral.
AACAAGAUCAGCGAGGCCGUCGAGCCGUCCAACCUGUCAUAAUGUUUAUUUUCUUUUCUUUUAUGAGCCGCUGCUGCUGAAAAGUCUCUUCUGGCUGCGAGGUGAACGUUGACAUCAGCUCUGAAGUGGACCUGAUGCUCAUUAAAUCAGAGGAAACAACAGGCUGCAGAGGUAAAUACAGCUGCCGCCCACCACCAACAACAACAAUACACACAAACACACACUCACUCAGUUUCAUUUCUUUAGUCUUCUCCACCGGCUCCAGUGUCAGAGUUCCUGUGUUUACAUAAUGCUUCCUUCUCACUGACAGAGGAGUGAUUGGGAUGUUCACAGAGAACCUCUGGAGUUAUAUAAAUUUAGGUCUUUGAAGGCAUCAUCAGUUUGUUCAGUAAAAUGACUUUUUCAAGCUGCAGCUGCUGCGUCUGCAGGUUUCCUCCUCACAGGGUGCCGCUGUGGUCUCAUGUUUUAUCACAGUAAUAAUAAGCCUCUUAGAUUUACGAUCCCCACCUUGAAUUUAUUCCACAGGAGCUUUUCCUUUUUUUUCCCUCCUAUUAUGUAUUUCUCUCAUAAACACGCCUCACGCUGCUUUACUGUGCGCUCUACUGUAAUUUCCUGCGUCCCCGUCUUGACUUGCAGCAGCUCCAGUGGGUGUGAACUGGUUCGCUUUAAUCUAAGGUGUGUGUGGGUGGGCAAAGGCGAGGUACCGGUCUCUAAGCAGCGUGCUAAUGUUCCAUGACCACCUCACUUUUCACAUGUUUUGAGCUCUAGUUGCCGUUUUCAGAUUUAUUUUGCGGUCCCCUGUCUUUGACAUGUUGUAGGGGUGCUCGAUUUGUGCAAAAAUCAUGAUUGUGAUUAUUUUUACUGAUGUCGAGAUCAUGUUUAUGAAACACAAUCAUGGAUUUAAAUCUGCUCUACAUGUGUUCACAGGAUACAUAAGCUUUGAUUUAAUUUCUUAUUUAACUUUAGUCGUGGAAAAGUGAGUUUUACUCUGAUGCUGCAAGAAUUACGCUGAUACUUCAUCAUGGUUCGGCUUCACGCCCCCGUUUAGUCUGGCAUAUGUUAGUUCGUUGAGUCUCGUUAAUGCUUAGAUCAUCUCUCUAGUAGUAGUCAUUCUCAGUCUUUCAGUCUUAUUUCUGUCUCAGUUUCCAAACCGGGUAAAUUGAGGCCUUAAUUAUUAUAACUUAAACGAAAUGAUAAAGAAAUGAUCAUAAAUGUUCUUCCUUGAGCUGUGUCAUCCCGCUGUAGUCUGUUAUGGGCUGGCCCGAGGUCUCAUUACAAAUAAGCGGCUGCUGGAAGAGAGUAGGUGAGUUGUGUUUAGUCUCUUUGCUAAAGAAAUGAGUCAAAGUUAAAAAGAUGUUUGGUGUCUAGUACUAUGGCUGUGACCCUGUAUGUCCUGUUGAUGAAGUUAGGUGCUGUUCUGAGCAUUAUUUGUGGCUAUAGAGUGGAGUUUUGGUUGAGGUUUGUUUAUGGCUCCUCAGACCGCAGUGUAUUGCUAUCGUGUGGUCGUUACUAAAGUUGGUAUAACUAGAGAAGCAAGCGGUCGGCAACAUUCAUCUCUCAAAGGGGUGUCUAACUCGGUGGUUGUCUUUUAUAUGUAGUUUAUUCCUUGUUUUGUACUUUAGUAUCAUUUUGUGUGUAUUAUCCCUUAUGUUUACUCAUUCCGACGGUCAUUUCUGUGUUUCCUGUUUUGUUUUGGAGUCCUUUUCCCCAGCAUGUAGAGUCAUCAGUCUCGCCUGUUGAUGCUAAACAAAAAUACCCAAUGUAAAGAUUAGAGAAGUCUGAGCCCCAUCUUAGUAGAUCAGACUAAAACUCUUAUCUUGAAGUUACAGAGGAGAGGAAGAACUUCCUUUAACAGGCAGAAACCUCGAGCAGGACCAGACUCACGUAAGACAACCAUCUAUUUCAGAAGCUUUAACAUUAUACCAGCAGCUCUGAUUGACUUCAUUUUCAGUCCUCAGCACAGAUUGAUAAUCUCGUCCUCCUCGCAGUAAUUAACCGUGGAGUUGAUUAACUUCUUCUAUCUGUGACGCCUCGGCAUUAUCAGCUGUUUGUUUACUGAUCUGAUUAUCACAGACGCAGUAUCAUAUUAAUGAAGGGAAGGCCUUCGCUCACAGUCCAGUGUGUUUUUCUUUUCUUUCUGUGUGUGUGGCUUGAGUUACCGUUAAUUGUCGUCAUGGAAAUGUUGUUUCUUUUUGUCGGUCGGGGAUGGAAGUUAAAUUAGCUCUCAUGUUACAUGAGCACUCAGCUGCAGGGACGUCCCGGAGGAGAGGGAAAGUGGCAUCGAUGGUUUUAUACCAGAAAUUACACAAGUAACAAGCUGCUUUCUCUGACCAACAACGGUUCUUAUCUCUCUUUGUCACACACACAAACACACUCAUAAUUUUAUAUUUAUUCAUGAUAAUGACACGGCAUAAUUCGUGUUCUCAAUCGGCUCCUUUUCAGAUUCAUCAGGGUCAUAAAUCCUUCAGUGAAGUUCAGGUUAAACUUAAAAUAGUUUUUCUAAUCUACAUAUUAAAUUUGAUUUAGUUUAAACAAAGUUAAAGUACUCACAUCACCAAUAAGGUCUUCCAGUGAGCUCCCCCUACAGGCCUGGAGUACUACUUGCAACACUUUUUCUACUUUUCAGACUUGAGUCUUGACUUAGAACGGUCGUUUGAUUAAAUGUUGAAUUUGUCAGGUAUGGUACUUUGUCAAUCCAGCUCUUCCCUGCAAAUAUCAGAUAUCUGAUGUGCUAAAAUAACAACCUACUGAAGUGCUUUUCCAUCAAAAUAAAUUAAGAGAAAUUCUGGCAAAACAUUUAUUUUUCUUUAUGGUAAAAAUGAACAUAUUUGUCAGUCUUGUCCUGGAAAAUAUUUGCUGUUUUGCAAAGGUUGACAGAAAUGUUAUUAUCAUAUUAUUAUUAUUAUUAUUAUUAUUAUUAUUAUUAUUAUUAUUAUUAUUAUUAUUAUUAUUACUGUUACUAUCAUUAUUAUUUUAUUAUUAUUAUUAUUAUUAUUAUUAUUAUUAUUAUUAUUAUUAUUAUUAUUAUUAUUACUGUUACUAUCAUUUUUAUUUUAUUAUUUUAUUAUUAUUAUUAUUAUUACUGUUACUAUCAUUAUUUUAUUAUUAUUAUUAUUAUUAUUAUUAUUGUUGUUGUUGUUGUUAUUAUUAUUACUGUUUUUGUUAUUACUGUUUUUGUUAUUAUUAUUUUAUUAUUAUUAUAAUUUUUACUGUUGCUGUUAUUAUUAUAUAGUGUAGUAGUAGUAGUUGUUAAAAUUGAGCUAUGUUUCUGUCUUGAAUAUUGAAUUAAUUCCUCGUAUUUCAGCACAUAAGCCUCUUUGUUGUAAAUCAGACUUUUCUCUGUUUAGCUGAAGAGGACGAUGUCAGCAUCCAGAGCUGCUUUUCUGGUUGUUGUUGUUGUUUUUUCUAUAUCAGUUUCGUUUUGUACUUUUCUUCUUUAGCCCUGAAGCUACCUGACUAACAAACUGUGUCUGACUCCCAAACUCAUGUUGGUACAGAACAAACACUUUCCAGCACAUUAAAGAUGAAUCUCUCUCUUCAUUUCAGAGCUGAGAUGAGCUCUCUUCGCUGCGCUCCCCGGCUGAGGUGAGAAUUAUCAUAAACUCUAAUGUCUUCAUGUGUAUAAUUUCUGACCUUUGUCUCAUUAAAAAUCUCACCGCUCUUCAGACUCCACACUGUCUGACUCAAAAAACACCGAAAACAAUCCAAGAGCGGACAUUAAGAGUCUCCGUCUCACUUAAACACUCAUCUACAUCCAGCAGAGGCUGUUUGUCUCAGAGUCCAAAUGAUCCGAGUGAGUAACCCUGUUCGAGAAGAAACGACUCAUUUUAAUGACCGUCAGAUACUCGGAGUUUGGCCAGAAAGGAAAUAACUUCACCAACAUCUUAUUGAGAGACUUUGUCAGACCAGACAAGAGCAAACGAACUUCAGGUUUAGAGAUCAAAUUAAGAAAACAUCCUGGUUCUCCUUAAAACCUAACAAAAUAUUGACCUUUCCUGGAGAUAGGCACAGUUUGUUAAACAACCUGAUUGAACUUUGAUUACAGUUAAUCAGUUUAAAUUGGCAGAUUAACUUUAUUUGGGUUUUAAAUUUUAAAUUUCCUGUUUCAGUCAUUUCUGGUGAGUCUCAGUUUCGCUGUAAAAAGUGAAACUGAAUAGAAGUCUGCAGUUUUCUUCUGUAACAUCAUAAAGGACUUUUUCAGAGUAAAUAAGUCGAGCUUUGUCAGGUCAGUCCUGAAAAGAAGAAGAAAACACUUUUUUUCUUUCUUUCUUUUUUUUCUCUUUCUUUUUUUUUUGGUUUAAACAUAUCUUUAUUGGUUUUUGUAUUCAUACAACAACAUCCAACAAUUUAAACAUAUGGCAGUUACGAAAAUAUCUAAUAAAAAUUCAAUCCUACAAAAGAGGUAAAUAAUUAAAAUGUCCUGAUAAAAUAAAUAAAUUAAAAAAUUAGAAAAAAAUUGAACUGACAAAGUACUGAGCAAAAAAUAGUUUUUUAAAUCAUUUAAAAUAAUAGCAAUAAAAAUCUAUUACUUUUAUUAUUAUUAUAACAAGACUUGUAAAGAUCUCGAAUAAUACAUUUUUUAUUAUCAUUAUCAUUAUUAUUAUUAUUAAUAAUAAUAAUAAUAAUAAUAAUGAUUUGUUCUGCCUGUUUUUGCUCUCCAUACCGACUCUCUUUCCUGCAUGAUUGGCCGAUAUAAACAUAUAAUGAACUGAGUUUUUCCACUGUCCUGGUUUUUGUUCAGAUUUUAUAGAAAGAGUUAACGACAUCAUGACAGGAAUGAUAACCUAUAAAAAUCCUCUAUACCACCUCACAGAACGCUUCAAUUUAAACAUCAUAUUCUUAGAUAAAUGUUUGGUAGUAAUUACCAACCAUCCAACUUCACAAAGAAACAUUUUAAUGUGAGUAAUACGCACUCCUAAUAACUGUUAUCAAAAGAGCACAAAGAGGUAACAAAGGAACCAAUUAAACGGCUCACAGCGGCGCGGAGGAGAGGAGGUUCUGCACAGAUUGCAGCGAGCGGAGAGAGAGCUGUUAUUUUAGCCCGGCUAUAAUCAAAGUGAUCAACAGACAGACCUGCUGAGUUAGAAACUGACAUGUCUUUAACCCCGGCUGCAGACACCAGACUGACAGAUACAACGAGGAGGAACAGGAGAGACGCUUCUGCUAAUUUGUUUUAUUUUCAGACUCGUGCGCAUCGCUGUGAGGCCUAAUCAAAGAAACAAAGAGGCUCUGAAUGGAGCAGAAAACAAGAAGAAGAAAGCAGGAAGCAGCUUUAGUGAAUUAAUGAGGCCUGACUAAUUGGGUAUUCAGCGGAUCUAAGCCCUUUGGCAAACAGGUCAUAUUCAGAGUUCGGCUUAAUCCGAGCCGUUGACCUCGGCAUAAUGAGAAACCAAAAUAUGCAGAAAAGAAGAAGAGUCCAGAUUUGCAUUAAAUACAUAAAACUGGAAUGAUAGUGUCACUUCAAUAAAUCCUCAAAGACGACUCCCUCAACACGAACCUGUUUAUCAUCAAUACAGCACACACACACAUGUGUCACAUGACUUUAUGUACCACAUAAAUUCAUCUUGGACUCUGUCACAUAGCAACACUGUGGUAUCCAUAGAAACGGAAUUAAACUUCAAACCCCGGUUAUUUAAGUCUUCUCAUUGAGGAUACGAACUCCUUUAAAUAGGAGUGGAUAAUUUUGCCCUGAACCUCGUGUUCGAGUUGACUCUAUUUGAGGAUCUGUCCAUGAAAGUCAAAUUAAAGAAAUUCAAAGAAUAUCUCCUCCUCCUCCUCGACGACACAAGUGUCUGUGUCACAUCUCCUACGAGAGGAAAAGUUCAGCCCUGACCUUGGGAACAGGAACUGAAUAUGAUGUCUGGUUUAUUCUCGGCUCUCUGGAAUCACAUGAUCCUCAUCAGGAGGUCUUCGGUUUAUGAAUUAAAUUGAAGAACUCUGAGCGAAUAAAAACUGCUGUUUAGUAACUGCUAAACAUGGAAGCACAAUGCUCUUUGUAUGAGCUUUUGGGAGUAUAAAACAGUCCUGGGAUCUCAUUGAAUAAUUUUUCAGCUCUUUUCUGUGUGAUAAAAACACAAAGACAGUGAAGUAGCAGGUCAAGAGAUGCUUCAUAAAUAAAGGUGUACCAAUGUAUUAAUAAUAAUAAUAAUAAUAAUAAUAAUUCAUUUUAUUUGUACAGCGCUUUUAAAAACACUCAAAGACGCUUUACAUGGUACGUAAAAAUUCAAGAUAAUAAGACAAAGACAUAAAAACAGUAAGAUGGACGAAACAGUUAAAUAUUAAAAGCAAUUUUAAAUAAGUGAGUUUUUAAAAGGGAUUUAAAAGUAGUGGGGUCAGGGCAGUGUCUGAUGGAGGGAGGUAGCGAGUUCCAAAGGGUAGGGGCAGCUGUGGAGAAUGCCCGAUCCCCCCAAGUUCGGUGCUUGGGUCGUGACAGUGGGGUGAGAAGAUGGGCAGAGGAGGAACGGAGGUUACGGGGGGGUACAUGAGGCUGGAGUAGGUCGGUGAGAUAAGAAGGGGCUUGAUGAUGAAGGGCUUUGUGGGUGAGAAGGAGGAUCUUGAACAUGAUGCGUUGCUGAUGCGUCUUAGACAGAGAUGGACGUGCAAACACAGUGAGGUCAGAUAGAGGUUCCAACUGAGCAUUUUUUAGUCUAAAAGAGGUCGAAUAGAUGUCUAAUAAUAAUAAUAUUUUUUAAUUUAUUUAUUAUAAUAUUAUUAUUAUAUAUAAUUAUUUAUAAUAAUUAUUUUGGUAAAGUACUUGGAGAUCAGUUAUGCUACUCACACAGUUGGUUUUUGAAAUAAAUCAAAUAAUGGGUUAAAGUGAAUGUCUAAACUCCGUCUAAAAAUAUAAAGAAUCUAAACGGUUGAAAUUAGGUCUUAAAAAAAAACUAGAUGUCUAAUAGCCGUCUGCAGAUGCAAGAGAUCACCACAGUCCAGGAGGAGGGAAUAAAAUCAGCUACAAGGAAAAUUUUCUCAGUAAAAAAUACGACUAUGAAAAACAAAAUUCAGUUUCAGCCUCUGUUUUCUCACCAGGUUCAGCUCAUGUUGUUUAAAAUUUAGCGAGUCAUCACCAUAGAUGAUAUAUGCUAUGCACAACUUGGCUCCGCUUUCUGUCAUAUACGAAUUUGAAGCCGAAUUGCUCUCUGUAUUUCCGUGUUUUUUCUCCAUUUCCUGGAACCACCAGUUUCACGGUAGCGUUGUACAUAUUCGGUGGGAGAGUCACUGUGACGACUCUGCCAAAACAGUGUAUACCCCGAGUGAGCUACGCAAUCUUUGCACGCUCAUAAGCUACAUCUAUGAAAGCUUGACUUGUCCAACUAUAAGCAAGAGCAAAGUAAGCACUAAAAUAACUUUCGUAGAUGUAGCCAUCUUGUUCCCGCCUCCGAUUUUGCUUUUUUCCGAUUUGGUUACUAAAACGCUAAUUUCUAAAGUUUGUCCUCGGCUCCAUAGGGAUUGCUGGAGGAGGCGGGGUUUAUGACCUAUACUGCAGCCUGUCACCAGAGGGUGCUGUUCUCACCGUGGCUUCACCCAAUGAGGAGGCAGACGGCGUCCAUUCCAUAUACAGUCU